Molecule: ribosomal RNA, 253 nt
Filed under: uncultured bacterium
Lineage: Bacteria
Description: partial 16S ribosomal RNA
Rfam family: Bacterial small subunit ribosomal RNA
Source: RNAcentral
UACGUAGGGACCGAGCGUUGUCCGGAUUCAUUGGGCGUAAAGAGCUCGUAGGCGGCUGUUCAAGUCGAACGUGAAAACUCGGAGCUCAACUCCGGGCCUGCAUUCGAUACGGGCAGACUAGAGUUCGGUAGGGGAGACUGGAAUUCCUGGUGUAGCGGUGAAAUGCGCAGAUAUCAGGAGGAACACCGGUGGCGAAGGCGGGUCUCUGGGCCGAUACUGACGCUGAGGAGCGAAAGCGUGGGGAGCGAACAGG